Long non-coding RNA from Homo sapiens (human), 1056 nucleotides. The record is from Ensembl. NCBI's taxonomy places the organism in Eukaryota, Metazoa, Chordata, Mammalia, Primates, Hominidae.
GCCCCCGUGCCUCUCCGCAGGGGCUGCGCCGCGUCCCCGGGCCUCUCCCUCCGCCGUGGCCUGGUCUGCCUGCUCCAGGGCGCAGCUGCGCCCGCUUCAGCGCCUCCCGGGUCUGCGUGGCCUGCUCGGCUCAGAGGCCUCCACCACGGUCCGCUCCCUGCCGGACGCCGCGCUGCUGUGGCCGCGGUGGUUCUGUGGCUGUGAGGGCCGUUUCUGUCCGUCCACACCGCCUUCCCUCUGCAGAUUUCCUCUGCAGAGGCCCGGAGUUACCAGCAAGGUCUGACGCAGCAGAGUGCAGAAACGGCCUCCCUGUCUGUCAAAGUGGCCUCCCGAGGACACCCAGCGAGGCCACCAGAUCAUCACGUGGAGUAUCGGUGGCCUUAUUAAAACAAAAACAACAACUCCACAGCCCGGCGAGCGGUAUGUGUGCCCAAGUACAUAGGUGAUUAGAACAGAAAGGCCUGGGCUGGUCAUCCAAGCUCUUCCGGUGGCCACCUCCGAGGAAGGUGGGGGUGUGAAGGAAAUGACUAAGGACUUGGAGAGUUAAGACAAGCACGUGCUCCCAGGUGGUGGGCAUGGUGAGAGAAAGAACCAGGGGAGGUUUGGGGAGGGUUCAACCAAGUCAGAAUGGGGCAUGGUAGGCGGCUUCCAAAACGGCCCCAGUGACCCUGCGAUCCCACCCUUGGGGGCUCCCUGCCUUGUGUGUGGGCUGGGCCCAGUGACGGCCUCUGGUGGACAAGAUAUGGCAGGAGACAGGAGGUCGCUGUGUCUGUGUCACUUCCUACAGAGGCUUAACGCCUCCUUGUAUUUAGACGGCUAAUAUACUUGGUCUUAAUCCUUUUAUGCCUAGCAUUCCAAUAAUGGAAGGUUCCAAUAACGGAAUGUUCUAAUAAUGGAACGCUAGGCAUGUCGGAUUUAUAUCCUACUGCUCAAGGUGAUCACCAAUGUCUGAUUGCUACCUUAGGCAUAAAUGGUUUAAUUCUACCAUCUUAUUGACUUAUUUUUUAUGUUACUAUUUUCAACAUUUUAAUAAGAAUUUAAAAAUAUUCAGCAAAA